GACGAACGCUGGCGGCGUGCUUAACACAUGCAAGUCGAACGGAAAGGCCCUGCUUUUGUGGGGUGCUCGAGUGGCGAACGGGUGAGUAACACGUGAGUAACCUGCCCUUGACUUUGGGAUAACUUCAGGAAACUGGGGCUAAUACCGGAUAGGAGCUCCUGCUGCAUGGUGGGGGUUGGAAAGUUUCGGCGGUUGGGGAUGGACUCGCGGCUUAUCAGCUUGUUGGUGGGGUAGUGGCUUACCAAGGCUUUGACGGGUAGCCGGCCUGAGAGGGUGACCGGCCACAUUGGGACGGAGAUACGGCCCAGACUCCUACGGGAGGCAGCAGUGGGGAAUAUUGCACAAUGGGCGGAAGCCUGAUGCAGCAACGCCGCGUGCGGGAUGACGGCCUUCGGGUGGUAAACCGCUUUCGCCUGUGACGAAGCGUGAGUGACGGUAAUGGGUAAAGAAGCACCGGCUAACUACGG
RNAcentral lists this ribosomal RNA (467 nucleotides) under uncultured bacterium. RNAcentral describes it as "partial 16S ribosomal RNA". It matches the Rfam family "Bacterial small subunit ribosomal RNA", at positions 28 to 506 of the family's 1533-position model. The record is from RNAcentral.